Molecule: non-coding RNA, 712 nt
Organism: Momordica charantia (bitter melon)
Lineage: Eukaryota; Viridiplantae; Streptophyta; Magnoliopsida; Cucurbitales; Cucurbitaceae
Source: RefSeq, a predicted model, not a curated record
CAGACUUCGAAAUCAGAUUCUACACAAAGUCCACAUGGAUGUCCGCUCCCGUCCAAGACCCAUCCUUCCAGAAAGCCACUAAAAUUUCCACAGACUGUUCCAGUACAUCCAAGGUGCCAAUCUGAAUUGGUCACGAAUCGCCAUGACUGCUCCUGUUUUGACAAGCAUUGUCCCUGGGGCUGGCCCCCUUCACUCGUCCUCUUAUUUUGUUCAACUCUAUCUGCCAGUUAAGUUUCAAGCUACACCACCUCUUCCCCUUCCUGAACUGGACCUAAAGCCCUUUGGUUGGGACGCUCAUUGUGUUGCAGUUAGAAAGUUCUCUGGAUUUGCAAGGGAUGAGAAGGUCAUAAAGGAGGCAGAGAAGCUUGCUACCAGCUUGAGUAGGUUCCCCUUGGCUAAUUCCACCUCUGAAAGGGGCUAUGCAUAUGCCAUUGCCAGUACAACUCUCCUUUCCGGAUGAUUGGACGAGUUAAUGAAGUCUGGGUCGACGUCGAUGCAGCGGAUUUGGAUGGUUGUAAAUCCAGUGUCAUUGCUGCAUUCUAAGUUUGCAGUGGUGCGGAAAAGAGAAUCAAGUUUCACUUUGUGCAUAUAAAGUUUGCUGGACAUGUACGUAUUUCAAUUUCGGUUACAUGCUGCUUUGUAUCUAUGUAAACAAGUCUACUACAUAAGAUGGGAACUCUACGAUUAUAGGGUCCUGAAAACUUCAACAAAA